CACACACACAAACACACAUACACACACACACACACAAACAGACCACACACACACACAAACACACAGUAUAUAUGUGUGUAUGGUAUACAUAAAGGGCUCUUUAGCUAUGAAAACGCCUCACUGGUGGCCUUCAUCACAGGCUCCACUUCACCAACCCUUGAGACAGCCCUACCAAUCCACACAAUACCACAUAGUUGGUAUAGCGUAAAAAGAAACAGCGAACGCAAGAAACACGUGUCCACACAUCUACAAAUGCAUGCAGAGCACAGGGAAUGCGUCUGUGGUGAACACACGUGCAGGGUUGCUGAAUCAUGAUCCCGGCACCUCUAGGAACGAAAUGACUGUCGAGAGCUCAUGUCCGCCCACAAAAGCAAAACCGUUUUGAAAUUGAUGCAAGUUUUCCUGUCGACAUUUAACAGCAUCUUGUGUAUUGUCAUUUUUUUUUUUUUUUACUGUAAUGCUGCCUUGCACAUGUGCAAUUGCUGACAGCCACGGCUGUUUGCAUCGAUCAGCUUGAUGCAUUGUUUGCACAUAGUGCCAGUGUGCAUCAGGGAAAAAACACCAUCAUUACAAUUACCCAGGCCGAGCCUUUGGCAGCUGUGAGCAGAGAACUCCAAAACCGGCUCCAGCCUUGAACAAUGGCGGGGGCCCAAGGCGCCAUGAAAUCAUACACUUAGGUCUGCUCACUUCUCUCGUCCUAGCAGCUAUCUUCUGUCCUGUGGGGGUUUCGGUAUAUAUUUUUUUUCUCCGCCCGUGACAUUGUUUGGCUUAAAGUAAGAUGAUUGCCUGUGAUGGUGGGUAGGGCUGUGGUGUUGACACAGGGACUUAAUGGUAUUUCAACUGACUUUGCUGAAAAGCUGUAGAUAAAUGGCAGCCCACUGCCGGGGAGUAGUCAAACGGUCUUCUAUAGGGAUGCUGGCGCGUGUGUGUGUGUGUGUGUGUGUGUGUGUGUGUGUGUGAUUGUGCCUUUCUGUAUGUGUAUGUUAUUUGGUGUAUCGGCGAUACAUUUUCAACUUAAACUCUUAAUGUUCAUCUCUCUUUAAUGCUCCUUAAUGU
Clupea harengus (Atlantic herring) is the source of this 1056-nucleotide long non-coding RNA. The record is from Ensembl. Lineage: Eukaryota; Metazoa; Chordata; Actinopteri; Clupeiformes; Clupeidae.